RNAcentral lists this ribosomal RNA (465 nucleotides) under uncultured bacterium. Its description in RNAcentral is "bacterial SSU rRNA". It matches the Rfam family "Bacterial small subunit ribosomal RNA", at positions 338 to 795 of the family's 1533-position model. The record is from RNAcentral.
CCUACGGGGCGCAGCAGUGGGGAAUAUUGCACAAUGGGCGCAAGCCUGAUGCAGCCAUGCCGCGUGUAUGAAGAAGGCCUUCGGGUUGUAAAGUACUUUCAGCGAGGAGGAAGGCAUUAAGGUUAAUAACCUUGGUGGUUGACGUUACUCGCAGAAGAAGCACCGGCUAACUCCGUGCCAGCAGCCGCGGUAAUACGGAGGGUGCAAGCGUUAAUCGGAAUUACUGGGCGUAAAGCGCACGCAGGCGGUCUGUCAAGUCGGAUGUGAAAUCCCCGGGCUCAACCUGGGAACUGCAUUCGAAACAGGCAGGCUAGAGUCUUGUAGAGGGGGGUAGAAUUCCAGGUGUAGCGGUGAAAUGCGUAGAGAUCUGGAGGAAUACCGGUGGCGGAGGCGGCCCCCUGGACAAAGACUGACGCUCAGGUGCGAAAGCGUGGGGAGCAAACAGGAUUAGAUGCCCGUGUAGUC